This 117-nucleotide ribosomal RNA is filed under the name uncultured bacterium. RNAcentral describes it as "partial 16S ribosomal RNA". It matches the Rfam family "Bacterial small subunit ribosomal RNA", at positions 1358 to 1482 of the family's 1533-position model. The record is from RNAcentral.
UACGGUGAAUACGUUCCCGGACCUUGUACGACUACCGCCCGUCAAGCCAUGGAAGCCGGGUGUACCUAAAGUCGAUAACCGUAAGGAGUCGCCUAGGGUAAACUGGUGACUGGGGCU